This 1161-nucleotide long non-coding RNA is filed under the name Olea europaea subsp. europaea. The record is from RNAcentral. Lineage: Eukaryota; Viridiplantae; Streptophyta; Magnoliopsida; Lamiales; Oleaceae.
AACAAUGGGAGAUAAGUUUCCAUCUGCAGUACGUACUUUUUUAUUUCCAGAAAGAGGUUCAUAAGAUAUAAACAAAUGGGACAGAUUAGUCAUGUGAUGAGGAGCACCUGAAUCUAUGAUCCAAGCUACAGACAAUGACGAGGAAGAGGCAUACAAAGUUCUACCUGUUUGAACAAAGGAUGCUACAGGAGCACCGGGAGUCGGUGGAGCAGAUUUCAACAGCUUUAGGAGUUGCUCUAUUUGUUCUUCACUCAAAGAGGUGGGAUCAGCAGUAUGUGCUUUGGCUGGGGCACGGUUCGGAUCAGUUUUAUUAUUCUUCCAUUCUACAACUUUCCAAUCAACAAGUUUUCCAUGCAGUUUCUUCGCGAGUAUGUCAGUGAUUUAUUGCAAAAAUCACACUGGACCUUUGAUUUGUCAUCUUGGCGGCGCUAAGUAUUAGGUGCACGAUAGGCAGCAACAGCAGCAGUCCCUAUUAAUGCUGAAUGUUCCACCGGUCCAGCAGUUAUUUUCUUGCCAGGCAUGACAUUUUUCCUGCUAUCUUGACAUCAAACUUCAGAAAAAACUUCACCGAGGAAUGAAGAGGUUUACGACCUAAAAUCCUGCCCCGUACUUCAUCAAAAUCAACAUCGAGUCCAGCCAGAAAUUUGAAAAUUCGUGAGUUCUCCAUUUUCUUCAAGUAAUUGCAAUCAUCCGUGUUUUUCCACUCGUGGUCAUCAUUGAAUAAGUCAAGGUACUGCCAUAAACCAUUGAGAAUAUUAAAAUAUUUAGUGACGGAAUUUUCAACUUGACGGACUUCCCCCAGUUUGAGUUGUAACUCGUAUGUUUGGAACUGAAUUCCAAGGUCUGAAUACAUCUAGGUGACAUUAUCUCAAAGGGCUUUAGCAGUAGGAUAACACGUAGUUUGCACUUAUAUCCUCCAUAGAAUUCACUAACCAGGCCAUUAUCAUGAAGUUUUCAGUAUCCCAAACAACACGGCCAGCAUCAAUUUUUUCUGGCUUUACAAUAUCACCAGUUAAGUAACCAAUUUUCCCUCUCCCGUUAAUAUACAUUCGAAUAGAUUGGGACCACCUGAGAAAAUUGUUCCCAUUGAGUCGAAUUGCGGUGAUUUGGACAGAACGAGAGAGUAGUUUGGUUGGAGGUUUAGAGGAGUUAAUAUUGGCA